GUUGCUCCGUCAGACUUUCGUCCAUUGCGGAAGAUUCCCUACUGCUGCCUCGGUAGGGCCCUACCGAGGCAGCAGUAGGGAAUCUUCCGCAAUGGACGAAAGUCUGACGGAGCAACGCCGCGUGAACGAAGAAGGCCUUCGGGUCGUAAAGUUCUGUUGUUAGGGAAGAACAAGUACCAGAGUAACUGCUGGUACCUUGACGGUACCUAACCAGAAAGCCACGGCUAACUACGUGCCAGCAGCCGCGGUAAUACGUAGGUGGCAAGCGUUGUCCGGAAUUAUUGGGCGUAAAGCGCGCGCAGGUGGUUCCUUAAGUCUGAUGUGAAAGCCCACGGCUCAACCGUGGAGGGUCAUUGGAAACUGGGGAACUUGAGUGCAGAAGAGGAAAGUGGAAUUCCAAGUGUAGCGGUGAAAUGCGUAGAGAUUUGGAGGAACACCAGUGGCGAAGGCGACUUUCUGGUCUGUAACUGACACUGAGGCGCGAAAGCGUGGGGAGCAAACAGGAUUAGAUACCCUGGUAGUCCACGCCGUAAACGAUGAGUGCUAAGUGUUAGAGGGUUUCCGCCCUUUAGUGCUGCAGCUAACGCUUAAGCAAUCCGCUGGUAGAACGGCCGC
Molecule: ribosomal RNA, 615 nt
Filed under: Lysinibacillus macroides
Lineage: Bacteria; Bacillati; Bacillota; Bacilli; Caryophanales; Bacillaceae
Description: bacterial SSU rRNA
Rfam family: Bacterial small subunit ribosomal RNA
Source: RNAcentral